AACGAACGCUGGCGGCAUGCCUAACACAUGCAAGUCGAACGAGCCCUUCGGGUCUAUUGGCGCACGGCUGCGUAACCCGUGGGGACCUUCACUUAUGUUCGGCAUAACUACCCGACAGGGGUGCUAAUACCGGAUAAUGUCUUCGAACCAAAGAUUUAUCGCCUUUGGAUGGUCCCGCGUUGGAUUAGCUUGUUGGUAGGGUAAAAGCCUACCAAGGCGAGGAUCGAUAACUUGGAAGAGAGAAUGAUUAGCCACUCUGGGACUGAGAAACGGCCCAGACUCCUACGGGAUGCAGGAGUGGGGAAUAGUGGAACGUGGGCGAAAGGCUGAUCGACUUAGGACGGGUGAGCGAUGAAGGUCUGAGGGUAGUAAAGCGCUUGUACCCGUGAUGAUCAUGACAGUACCGGGAGAAUAAGCUACGGCUAACUCCGUG
RNAcentral lists this ribosomal RNA (433 nucleotides) under uncultured bacterium. RNAcentral's name for it is "partial 16S ribosomal RNA". It matches the Rfam family "Bacterial small subunit ribosomal RNA", at positions 29 to 507 of the family's 1533-position model. The record is from RNAcentral.